GACGAACGCUGGCGGCGUGCUUAACACAUGCAAGUCGAACGGAAAGGCCCUGCUUUUGUGGGGUGCUCGAGUGGCGAACGGGUGAGUAACACGUGAGUAACCUGCCCUUGACUUUGGGAUAACUUCAGGAAACUGGGGCUAAUACCGGAUAGGAGCUCCUGCUGCAUGGUGGGGGUUGGAAAGUUUCGGCGGUUGGGGAUGGACUCGCGGCUUAUCAGCUUGUUGGUGGGGUAGUGGCUUACCAAGGCUUUGACGGGUAGCCGGCCUGAGAGGGUGACCGGCCACAUUGGGACUGAGAUACGGUCCAGACUCCUACGGGAGGCAGCAGUGGGGAAUAUGGCACAAUGGGCGGAAGCCUGAUGCAGCAACGCCGCGUGCGGGAUGACGGCCUUCGGGUUGUAAACCGCUUUCGCCUGUGACGAAGCGUGAGUGACGGUAAUGGGUAAAGAAGCACCGGCUAACUACGUG
RNAcentral lists this ribosomal RNA (468 nucleotides) under uncultured bacterium. RNAcentral describes it as "partial 16S ribosomal RNA". It matches the Rfam family "Bacterial small subunit ribosomal RNA", at positions 28 to 507 of the family's 1533-position model. The record is from RNAcentral.